UAUUAGGUAGCUUCAUUUGAAUAAAACCGUGUUGAGUCAAAUCUAACAGAUACAGUUAUAUUCUAUGAACUUCUAUUCUAAAAGCUGUUUUCAACCUUCAGGUCAUUUUUAGAGGCUAAACCAAGGAGAGUAAGUUUUGAUUACUCUGCUUAAAGAUGACAUUGCCCCUUAUUAGAAGUUAGGAUUUAAGGAGGGCACCUGAUGUGAUGAACACCAGGCAUUGUAUGGAAGUGUGGAAUCUCACUAUAUUGCUCACCUGAAACUAAUAAUACACUAUAUGUUAACUAACUGGAGUUUAAAUAAACACUAAAAAAAAAAAAAAAAAAAGAACGUAUACUUGGGAAAGACCAUUAUCUUUAAAAUAUAACAUUCAUAUUCAAUCACAAAUAAAUAUGCUGUAUAUGUAGUUUUAAUAAAUAGUCAUGCUGGAAAUAGUUUCUUAAAAAAAAAACAAAAAGAAGACACUAGAAUGGCAGUCUCACCACAUGUUACAUUACUGAAUACACAAGGAAGGUUGAAUUUAUAGCUGAAGGACUGCUUUCAGGUUUCUAAAUGAAGAAACAUUUUUAUUUUCUACUAUACAAUGCCUCAACAACUCUGGGUUUUCCCUUCAGUAUAUAUUAUUUCCUAUUUGACUUAUACACACUUGUACCUUCUCGAGGCAAUUGAUUAUUAUUGUUGCAUAUAACAUGAAAAGUACACGUUUUCCUUUGUCUACAGUUGGCCCCUCGUGGAAACACACACACACACACACACACACACACACACACACACACACAGGGGGGCACCUGGGUGGCUGUUGGUUAAGCAUCCAACUUUUGGUUUCGGCUCAGGUCACGAUCAAACUGUUUGUGGGUUCGAGCCCUGCAUCGAGCUCAGCGCUGACAGUGUGGAGCCUUCUUGGGAUUCCCUCUCUCCCUGGCUCUCUGCCCCUCGCCAACUUACACGCAUGCAUGCUCCUAAAUAGAUAAGUAAAUAAAUAUAUAUUUUUUUAAGAAGAUGCAUGUACCUUAAAUGCUACUGAAAAAAAAAAUGCUACUACAUGCCUUUUCAGUGGUGUUCCUCUCUGUCAAUUAGAACGUUCACUUCAGGAAACUGAAUUUGUAGCAAUCAUUUUAGAAAAGCCCAUUCUGAAUUUAGCUCCAAACAGCACACGAGAGAAGAGCUUAGGUGAUUGCUAAGGAAAUUAUUUAGAAACAUUUUUUAAAUUAAAAAUAAAAGUUUGAGGGUCCUAGGGGACUUCUAGUUCCAUCUGGCUUCAUCUAUAAACUGUCAUCACUGGAUGAGAUAAUCCAUUGUAAAGACUGUAAAAAUAGUUGUAAAAGAUAGUUAAAGAAUUAGAAAAACCAUCGGAGUUCUCUCACCACCAAAGGAAGCACAUUUGAGGAAAACAGACAAUUUUACCUGAAAACAAAAAGAAAUACGUUCAUUUAUAUAAGAUAGUAAUUUUAUGAAGAUUUUAGGGAAAACUUAAAGUGGGGAUAAUUAGUAAUAUGGAUCGAAACUGCUACGUCAAUGGAAAACCAAAAUAUCAUGUAAAAUUAGACAUUAACUGACUUCAAGGAAACACUUAAUAUUCUCGCCAUAUGAUCCCAUUAAGGGACUCCCAUGCCCAAAUCCCUGUGGCUAAAGGGCUGAUUUUAUGUUCACAUUUCCAGGACUCUGAUGAACGAUCAUUACUCCAAAUACAUGAAUGUGUAUUUAUUAAUUUUAAUGCUUUACUCCCUGCUUUCACAAGAGUGUAGGACCUCCGAGUUAUGAAUUUUGCUUCCAAAUGACCAUGCCAACUUGUUCCAAAGCUGUAGUGAUUGACACGGUUUGGGAUUAACACAGAGACAGAUAAUCAAUUUAACGGAAGAGAGAAUCUAGAAACAGUGCAGUCUUUUUAAGGCUAUCCAUGUGGAGGAAAAAAAAAUGAAUCCUCACUCCCUACUUUACAUCAUAAAAAAAAAAAUCAAUUCCAGUAGACUAAAGAGCUAAAUGUGAAAGGCAGAACAAUAAAGCUUCUGAAAGAAACCACAAGUAUCCUCAUAACCUUGAGCAAACAAAUAUCUCUUCAACAGGAAAGAGUAUGGACCCUAAAGGAAAGAACUGGUAAACCAGCCUUCACUAAAAUGCAAUGUCUGUUCAUCCAAAGAUACUAGUAGGAGAGUAAAAAGGUAACCACAGACUGUGAAAGAUGCCUGCCACCCCCACACCUGAGGGCUCCUAUCCAAAAUAUAGCUACAAAUCAAAAAGACAAGCCCAACAGGAAAAAAAAAAAAAAAAAAAAAAGGGCAAACUACUU
Leopardus geoffroyi (Geoffroy's cat) is the source of this 2287-nucleotide long non-coding RNA. RefSeq lists it as uncharacterized. The transcript has 2 exons. The record is from RefSeq and is a predicted model, not a curated record. NCBI's taxonomy places the organism in Eukaryota, Metazoa, Chordata, Mammalia, Carnivora, Felidae.